UGGGUCGAAGGUUGAGGUGUCAAUGUUUGGUUCUGAGAAUUGGUGAUCUUCUAUCUUCUUUACUCGUGUAGUUAUAUUUCAGUAUUUAGGAGGUAGAGGCUGAAAUCAAAGAAAAGGACAGUGUUUAUGUUCUGUAAGCAACCUCUUUCUUUAAACACACCACCAACUUUCACUAUAAACAUUUUCACAUCAUAAUCAUAAUUUUUUUUUUAUUUUUAUUAUCAUUUUACCUUUAUAUUAUAUAUUAAAU
Molecule: long non-coding RNA, 250 nt
Filed under: Vigna radiata
Lineage: Eukaryota; Viridiplantae; Streptophyta; Magnoliopsida; Fabales; Fabaceae
Description: long non-coding RNA (VRAD_LNC010839)
Source: RNAcentral